Molecule: long non-coding RNA, 537 nt
Filed under: Mytilus galloprovincialis (Mediterranean mussel)
Lineage: Eukaryota; Metazoa; Mollusca; Bivalvia; Mytilida; Mytilidae
Source: RNAcentral
AAGUAACGGCAUGUCCCAACUAACAAUUUAGUGAAAAUAAGAUGUUGAUAUGUUAUAAGGUUUUGAAAACUAGUAAAAAUAAGCCAAAAUAAAAAUUUAGAAUACGACCUUGACCUUUGACCUUGACUUUAUUUUAAUUUUUUGGGACCAAGGAUCUCAAAUCAAAAGACCCUAGGUCUCUAUCACUUAAGGUUUACCAGUUAGAAAUGCAAAUAACUUAUAUCAAAUACAUAAGGGGGAGUAACUCUCAUAUGGAGUCUCCGGAUAGCUUCGGUCAAAACUAAACUCCUAAUCCUGAAGAUGUAUUGAACAAUUUGGUAAACUAAAUUUGUCGUAAUCUUUCACGGUUGCGAAGGAGUAGUGGCUACAAGAAAAACAGUGUUUGGGGAGAUAACUCUUACAACGCCAAGUAUUUAGUUACGCGGUUGUCAGUUUAAAAGCGUAUAAACUACACGAUAUCAUAUUCCAAAUAUCUAAGCGACAUCUUGAGAAACAUCAUUACUACACAAGAAAAAAAUUAGGCGGAAGAAAAAAAAA